UGGAGCAUGUGGUUUAAUUCGAAGCAACGCGAAGAACCUUUACCAGGUCUUGACAUCCCGAUGCUAUUCUAGAGAUAGAAAGUUACUUCGGUACAUCGGUGACAGGUGGUGCAUGGUUGUCGUCAGCUCGUGUCGUGAGAUGUUGGGUUAAGUCCCGCAACGAGCGCAACCCCUAUUGUUAGUUGCCAUCAUUCAGUUGGGCACUCUAGCGAGACUGCCGGUAAUAAACCGGAGGAAGUGGGGAUGACGUCAAAUCAUCAUGCCCCUUAUGACCUGGGCUACACACGUGCUACAAUGGUUGGUACAACGAGUUGCGAGUCGGUGACGGCGAGCUAAUCUCUUAAAGCCAAUCUCAGUUCGGAUUGUAGGCUGCAACUCGCCUACAUGAAGUCGGAAUCGCUAGUAAUCGCGGAUCAGCACGCCCGCGGUCCGAAUACGUUCCGGCCUU
RNAcentral lists this ribosomal RNA (448 nucleotides) under uncultured Streptococcus sp. RNAcentral describes it as "bacterial SSU rRNA". It matches the Rfam family "Bacterial small subunit ribosomal RNA", at positions 933 to 1374 of the family's 1533-position model. Lineage: Bacteria; Bacillati; Bacillota; Bacilli; Lactobacillales; Streptococcaceae. The record is from RNAcentral.